RNAcentral lists this ribosomal RNA (478 nucleotides) under uncultured bacterium. RNAcentral's name for it is "partial 16S ribosomal RNA". It matches the Rfam family "Bacterial small subunit ribosomal RNA", at positions 28 to 523 of the family's 1533-position model. The record is from RNAcentral.
GACGAACGUUGGCGGCGCGCCUAAAACAUGCAAGUCGAACGAGAAGCCCGGGCUUGCCCGGGUGGACAGUGGCGAACGGGUGAGUAACACGUGAGGAACCUGCCCCGAAGACCGGGACAACACCGGGAAACCGGUGCUAAUACCGGAUGCCUUCACCGGAUCGCAUGGUCUGGUGAAGAAAUGGAUUCCGCUUCGGGCUGGCCUCGCGGCCUAUCAGCUUGUUGGUGAGGUAAUGGCUCACCAAGGCGACGACGGGUAGCUGGUCUGAGAAGAUGUCCGGCCACACUGGGACUUAGACACGGCCCAGACUCCUUCGGGAGGCAGCAGUUAGUAAGCUUGCGCAAUGGGCGAAAGCCUGACGCAGCGACGCCGCGUGCGGGAUGAAGGCCUUCGGGUUGUAAACCGCUUUCAGCAGGGACGAAAUUGACGGUACCUGCAGAAGAAGCCCCGGCCAACUACGUGCCAGCCGCCGCAGUAA